CCUACGGGUGGCAGCAGUGGGGAAUAUUGGACAAUGGGCGAAAGCCUGAUCCAGCCAUGCCGCGUGUGUGAAGAAGGCCUUCGGGUUGUAAAGCACUUUCAGUGGGGAAGAAAGCCUUGGGGCUAAUACCCUCGAGGAAGGACAUCACCCACAGAAGAAGCACCGGCUAACUCCGUGCCAGCAGCCGCGGUAAUACGGAGGGUGCGAGCGUUAAUCGGAAUUACUGGGCGUAAAGCGCGCGUAGGCGGUCUGAUAAGCCGGUUGUGAAAGCCCCGGGCUCAACCUGGGAACGGCAUCCGGAACUGUCAGGCUAGAGUGCAGGAGAGGAAGGUAGAAUUCCCGGUGUAGCGGUGAAAUGCGUAGAGAUCGGGAGGAAUACCAGUGGCGAAGGCGGCCUUCUGGACUGACACUGACGCUGAGGUGCGAAAGCGUGGGUAGCAAACAGGAUUAGAUACCCUUGUGUC
This 464-nucleotide ribosomal RNA is filed under the name Vreelandella stevensii. RNAcentral describes it as "partial 16S ribosomal RNA". It matches the Rfam family "Bacterial small subunit ribosomal RNA", at positions 338 to 795 of the family's 1533-position model. Lineage: Bacteria; Pseudomonadati; Pseudomonadota; Gammaproteobacteria; Oceanospirillales; Halomonadaceae. The record is from RNAcentral.